UAGCAUAUCAAUAAGCGGAGGAAAAGAAACCAACAGGGAUUGCCCUAGUAACGGCGAGUGAAGCGGCAACAGCUCAAAUUUGAAAUCUGGCUCUUUUAGGGUCCGAGUUGUAAUUUGCAGAGAGCGCUUUGGCGUUGGCAGCGGUCCAAGUUCUUUGGAACAGGACGUCACAGAGGGUGAGAAUCCCGUACGUGGUCGCUAGCCUUCGCCGUGUAAAGCCUCUUCGACGAGUCGAGUUGUUUGGGAAUGCAGCUCUAAAUGGGAGGUAAAUUUCUUCUAAAGCUAAAUACUGGCCAGAGACCGAUAGCGCACAAGUAGAGUGAUCGAAAGAUGAAAAGCACUUUGGAAAGAGAGUCAAAUAGCACGUGAAAUUGUUGAAAGGGAAGCGCUUGCAGCCAGACUUGCCUGUAGUUGCUUAUCCGGACUUUUGUCCGGUGCACUCUUCUGCGGGCAGGCCAGCAUCAGUUUAGGCGGUUGGAUAAAGGUCUCUAUCACGUACCUCCCUUCGGGGUUGGCCUUAUAGGGGAGACGACAUGCAGCCAGCCUGAACUGAGGUCCGCGCAUCUGCUAGGAUGCUGGCGUAAUGGCUGUAAGCGGCCCGUCUUGAAACACGGACCAAGGAGUCUAACAUCUAUGCGAGUGUUUGGGUGUCAAGCCCAGACGCGUAAUGAAAGUGAACGGAGGUGGGAACCUUUUAGGUGCACCAUCGACCGAUCCUGAUGUCUUCGGAUGGAUUUGAGUAAGAGCAUGGCUGUUGGGACCCGAAAGAUGGUGAACUAUGCUUGAAUAGGGUGAAGCCAGAGGAAACUCUGGUGGAGGCUCGCAGCGGUUCUGACGUGCAAAUCGAUCGUCAAAUUUGGGCAUAGGGGCGAAAG
Molecule: ribosomal RNA, 875 nt
Filed under: Phaeosphaeria elongata
Lineage: Eukaryota; Fungi; Ascomycota; Dothideomycetes; Pleosporales; Phaeosphaeriaceae
Description: LSU rRNA
Rfam family: Eukaryotic large subunit ribosomal RNA
Source: RNAcentral